Molecule: long non-coding RNA, 1469 nt
Organism: Poecilia latipinna (sailfin molly)
Lineage: Eukaryota; Metazoa; Chordata; Actinopteri; Cyprinodontiformes; Poeciliidae
Exons: 2
Source: RefSeq, a predicted model, not a curated record
CAGAAGGAAGGGAUUGGCCAGGGUACACUCUGACUGUACACAUUGUCCACACGUUUGCUGCAACAAAGCUAUAGUUUUUUUGUUGCUUUUUUUAAGCAUCUUAUGCUUUUGGGGCGAACACACUCCAGUAUAACUGAGCAUUUUUAACAUAAAUGAGCACUGUGUUCGUCAGUGCAGGCUGGAGCUUGUGCAGCUCAGACAUCCAUCUGGCUCUCGGGGUGUAGGUGCGGUGCCUCUCCACUGCGCUGCAGCCGCUGUUGCUGCAGGGGGAGCAUUCGUCCAUCCACAGCGUGCUGCUGCCGUGUGCUGCGAUGUGCGGCGGCCGCCUUAUUAUCAGUCCUCCCCGUCUGCUCCUUUUAUCUGGUUUUACCUCCAUCAGGCCGCCGUGGAACGGAUCCAUCAUCACAGGGGAGCGCUAUGUGCAGCAGGGAGGUGACACGUCUUGGAGCGCGUCUUAACUGAGAUGGAGCAGAAACUCACAUGCUCACAUCACUGCCUGCUUGGUUUCUGGAAAUGCUGGUUCCUCCCAACAAAGGCUAAUCAUUCUCUGACUGGAUAGAGCCAGUGAGGUAAAAUUUGAGUAGGUUAAUGAGUUUUUCUAAAAUGCAGUAUAUGUUGUGUAAAGAUUGCUGUAGCCUAAGUUGUGCUGCAGGCAUCUGUUCAAAAGCAGAGUGUCUCUCAGACUCAACAACACACAGAGGCUUGUGUUGUAAUCACACUACGUCACAUCUGGAGGCUUGUAAUGGAUUCUGUUUGCUUAUGUUGUGUUUUCUUCAUUGCUUUCACAAAUGGGUGAAUUCUCACAUGCUUUCUUAAUAAACAGAGCUACAUAUGGACAACAUGACCGAUCAAAGCACUGAAGUACACAAGCAGAUUAUUCCUUUUUGUCGUUGGUCACAGCAAGAGGAUAAAGACCUUAUUGUGUUUUGGUAGAAAGGAGGUGUGGUUGCAAGGAGCUAGAAUGGUGAGGAGGGGGAAAACCGACUAACAACGCUGGCCAAGAAAAUGUGGUCUAAAUGAAACCAAAUGCAAAUUCCUUUGCAUCGACAUGGUUAACUCUUAAAAUGCUGUAUUUACUAAGAUAAAAAUAUGCAGACAAAAAAUACAACUAGUCUUUAAUAUGGACUAUUUGUGUAUAUUUAGUCAGGCACAUAGUCAAUGAUACAGAGUAUGUUUAUUUAAAAUCCGUCUGACAAUCUGUGGUUUUAUAACAAAUCUAAAGUGUUAGACUUCAGAUGUUAUUUACAUCACUAUAUCGAUUAUUCUUCACUCAAGGAUUGUACUUAUCAUCAAUAGAAGCUCCUUAAACACUUUAGGAGAAGAAGCAGAUCUGGAUCUGCCGCCAACCUGACUGGGUCUCUGGACCAGUGAUUCCAGCACUCAUCUCUCAGCUUGGCUAAUGGGGAAAUAUAAUUAUUCAAACUGGCCUGAAGGCCUGGCCAUGUAACCAAGUCUUUACUAGAUUUCCU